ACUCCUACGGGAGGCAGCAGUGGGGAAUUUUGGACAAUGGGGGCAACCCUGAUCCAGCCAUGCCGCGUGCGGGAAGAAGGCCUUCGGGUUGUAAACCGCUUUUGUCAGGGAAGAAAUCUCUUGGGUUAAUACCCUGGGGGGAUGACGGUACCUGAAGAAUAAGCACCGGCUAACUCCGUGCCAGCAGCCGCGGUAAUAC
RNAcentral lists this ribosomal RNA (199 nucleotides) under uncultured bacterium. Its description in RNAcentral is "partial 16S ribosomal RNA". It matches the Rfam family "Bacterial small subunit ribosomal RNA", at positions 335 to 526 of the family's 1533-position model. The record is from RNAcentral.